This 62-nucleotide transfer RNA is filed under the name Limnometra cursitans. RNAcentral describes it as "tRNA-Leu". Lineage: Eukaryota; Metazoa; Arthropoda; Insecta; Hemiptera; Gerridae. The record is from RNAcentral.
UAUGGCAGAAAUAUAUGCAAUGAGCUUAAGAUUCAUUUAUAAAGAUUUAUCUUUUAUUAGAA